Molecule: ribosomal RNA, 301 nt
Filed under: uncultured bacterium
Lineage: Bacteria
Description: partial 16S ribosomal RNA
Rfam family: Bacterial small subunit ribosomal RNA
Source: RNAcentral
CAGUAGCCGCGGUAAUACGAAGGGGGCUAGCGUUGUUCGGAAUUACUGGGCGUAAAGGGCGCGUAGGCGGCCAUUCAAGUUAGAUGUGAAAGCCCUGGGCUCAACCUAGGAAUUGCAUUUGAUACUGUUUGGCUUGAGUUCGGGAGAGGUGAGUGGAAUUCCCAGUGUAGAGGUGAAAUUCGUAGAUAUUGGGAAGAACACCAGUGGCGAAGGCGGCUCACUGGACCGACACUGACGCUGAGGCGCGAAAGCGUGGGGAGCAAACAGGAUUAGAUACCCCGGUAGUCCCUGUCUCUUAUAC